GGGGAUGUAGCUCAAUGGCACAGCACUUGCCCAGGAUGCAUGAGGUCCUGGGUUCAAUUCCCAGUAGCCCCC
This 72-nucleotide transfer RNA is filed under the name Marmota marmota marmota (Alpine marmot). It matches the Rfam family "tRNA". Rfam says of the family: Transfer RNA (tRNA) molecules are approximately 80 nucleotides in length. Their secondary structure includes four short double-helical elements and three loops (D, anti-codon, and T loops). Further hydrogen bonds mediate the characteristic L-shaped molecular structure. tRNAs have two regions of fundamental functional importance: the anti-codon, which is responsible for specific mRNA codon recognition, and the 3' end, to which the tRNAs corresponding amino acid is attached (by aminoacyl-tRNA synthetases). tRNAs cope with the degeneracy of the genetic code in two manners: having more than one tRNA (with a specific anti-codon) for a particular amino acid; and 'wobble' base-pairing, i.e. permitting non-standard base-pairing at the 3rd anti-codon position. The record is from Rfam by way of RNAcentral. Lineage: Eukaryota; Metazoa; Chordata; Mammalia; Rodentia; Sciuridae. RNAcentral also lists the same sequence under 1 other name.